CAUUGAGCUGCGCCGUGCUGAGCCGGUGGGAGCAGAGUGUGAGGCUCGGGGUUCAUGGUGUUUAUUGGGAUUAUUCCUGGUUCCAGAUCAGGAGGUUAGUAUUGUCCUCAGUGACCUCCCUGGAGCAUCAUGUGACCUGGUAAUACAGCCAUUCAGUUAUUACUGAGCAGCAUGGAGGAUACUGGAUCAGUAAUACAAUGCUGCCAAUAAUCAGACUAGUACAUUAACAUGGGAGAGGGGGGGGCAGCAUGGAGAG
Molecule: non-coding RNA, 256 nt
Organism: Pelobates cultripes (western spadefoot toad)
Lineage: Eukaryota; Metazoa; Chordata; Amphibia; Anura; Pelobatidae
Source: the annotation of a GenBank genome assembly